Molecule: non-coding RNA, 72 nt
Organism: Phrynosoma platyrhinos (Desert horned lizard)
Lineage: Eukaryota; Metazoa; Chordata; Lepidosauria; Squamata; Phrynosomatidae
Source: the annotation of a GenBank genome assembly
GGGACCAUAGGUCAGUGGCAGAAUGUCUGCUUUGCACACAGAAGGUCCCAGGUUCAAUUCCCAGCAUCUUUG